UAAGACCUUGCGCUUUUGGAGUGGCCGAUGCCUGAUUAGCUAGUUGGUGGGGUAAGAGCCUACCAAGGCGACGAUCAGUAGUUGGUCUGAGAGGACGACCAGCCACACUGGGACUGAGACACGGCCCAGACUCCUACGGGAGGCAGCAGUGGGGAAUUUUGGACAAUGGGCGAAAGCCUGAUCCAGCAAUGCCGCGUGAGUGAAGAAGGCCUUCGGGUUGUAAAGCUCUUUCAGUCGAGAAGAAAAGGUCGCGACUAAUAAUCGCGACUCAUGACGGUAUCGACAGAAGAAGCACCGGCUAACUACGUGCCAGCAGCCGCGGUAAUACGUAGGGUGCGAGCGUUAAUCGGAAUCACUGGGCGUAAAGGGUGCGCAGGCGGCUUUGUAAGUCAGAUGUGAAAUCCCCCGGGCUUAACCUGGGA
This 422-nucleotide ribosomal RNA is filed under the name uncultured ammonia-oxidizing beta proteobacterium. RNAcentral describes it as "bacterial SSU rRNA". It matches the Rfam family "Bacterial small subunit ribosomal RNA", at positions 202 to 619 of the family's 1533-position model. The record is from RNAcentral. Lineage: Bacteria; Pseudomonadati; Pseudomonadota; Betaproteobacteria.